AACAAGGCGUACCUGCGGACCUGCGGAGGGAUCAUUACCGAGUUUACAACUCCCAAACCCAAUGUGAACGUUACCAAACUGUUGCCUCGGCGGGAUCUCUGCCCCGGGUGCGUCGCAGCCCCGGACCAAGGCGCCCGCCGGAGGACCAACCAAAACUCUUUUGUAUACCCCCUCGCGGGUUUUUAUAUCUGAGCCAUCUCGGCGCCUCUCGUAGGCGUUUCGAAAAUGAAUCAAAACUUU
RNAcentral lists this unclassified non-coding RNA (240 nucleotides) under soil metagenome. RNAcentral describes it as "partial contains 5.8S ribosomal RNA, internal transcribed spacer 2, and large subunit ribosomal RNA". The record is from RNAcentral.